Molecule: ribosomal RNA, 395 nt
Filed under: uncultured bacterium
Lineage: Bacteria
Description: bacterial SSU rRNA
Rfam family: Bacterial small subunit ribosomal RNA
Source: RNAcentral
AGAGUUUGAUCCUGGCUCAGAGCGAACGCUGGCGGCAGGCUUAACACAUGCAAGUCGAGCGGGCGUAGCAAUACGUCAGCGGCGGACGGGUGAGUAACGCGUGGGAACAUACCUUUUGGUUCGGAACAACACAGGGAAACUUGUGCUAAUACCGGAUAAGCCCUUACGGGGAAAGAUUUAUCGCCGAAAGAUUGGCCCGCGUCUGAUUAGCUAGUUGGUGAGGUAACGGCUCACCAAGGCGACGAUCAGUAGCUGGUCUGAGAGGAUGAUCAGCCACAUUGGGACUGAGACACGGCCCAAACUCCUACGGGAGGCAGCAGUGGGGAAUAUUGGACAAUGGGCGCAAGCCUGAUCCAGCCAUGCCGCGUGAGUGAUGAAGGCCCUAGGGUUGUAAA